GUGCUGGCUUUGGCAGCACAUAUACUAAAAUUGGAACAAUACAGAGAAGAUUAGCA
RNAcentral lists this small nuclear RNA (56 nucleotides) under Capra hircus (goat). Lineage: Eukaryota; Metazoa; Chordata; Mammalia; Artiodactyla; Bovidae. The record is from RNAcentral.